CAGCCCCAGAAUUCGUUGCUGAAACCGUUGACAUCCUCGAAUUGGGAUCGGCGGACGGCCAGGACUCCUCCAGCGUAGCCUUUGUGGCCAUUUGAAGGGCGAAUCGGCGGUCUUCGUGGCACUUGUAAACGGCGAAAUUGGUCUCGGGUAGCGUGUCGACGUCGUGCAAGAUGAAGCAAUCCAAAUCGGGAUGGAUUCUUAAGGCUUCGAUGACACCUGCGUUGAGUAAUUUCCCGCGGUUGAAAAGAUCCCCGUCUAAAACAGGAGUUUAGAAGAAUUGGGAUUUCUCUUGAAAUGUUUUAUGUGACGUAAUAUCUUACCUGCUUGUUCGACGACGAAAAUUGUGUAAUGACGCCAUUGGGAGACUAAGACUUGGUGGAGAUGCCUCAAGAAAAUCGGCAGUUGAUGCCAACGUCUUUUCAUGGGGACAAAGAUCCCGAGGCGUUGUCGUGGAUGACAGUGUUCCGGAUGCCAGUGCCCGCCCAUCUGGAUGUGUGGAAACAACUCGUUCAACUCUUCAUCCGUCGGUAGGGUCGUGUUGAUCACCAAACGGACUGUGAAACGUAUUUUCAAAAUUGAAUCGAAUUUACUCUGAUUCAAAUCGCCAAAAGAGAAAAUGGAAAUUUAAUAAAAACAAA
Molecule: long non-coding RNA, 638 nt
Organism: Daphnia pulex (common water flea)
Lineage: Eukaryota; Metazoa; Arthropoda; Branchiopoda; Diplostraca; Daphniidae
Exons: 2
Source: RefSeq, a predicted model, not a curated record